This 75-nucleotide transfer RNA is filed under the name Acetobacteraceae bacterium. Its description in RNAcentral is "tRNA-Val". It matches the Rfam family "tRNA". From Rfam's summary of the family: Transfer RNA (tRNA) molecules are approximately 80 nucleotides in length. Lineage: Bacteria; Pseudomonadati; Pseudomonadota; Alphaproteobacteria; Acetobacterales; Acetobacteraceae. The record is from RNAcentral.
GGGCGCAUAGCUCAGCGGGAGAGCGCCUCCCUGACACGGAGGAGGUCACAGGUUCAAUCCCUGUUGCGCCCACCA